GACGAACGCUGGCGGCGUGCCUAAUACAUGCAAGUUGAGCGCUGAAGGCUGGUACUUGUACCAACUGGAUGAGCAGCGAACGGGUGAGUAACGCGUGGGGAAUCUGCCUUUGAGCGGGGGACAACAUUUGGAAACGAAUGCUAAUACCGCAUAAAAACUUUAAACACAAGUUUUAAGUUUGAAAGAUGCAAUUGCAUCACUCAAAGAUGAUCCCGCGUUGUAUUAGCUAGUUGGUGAGGUAAAGGCUCACCAAGGCGAUGGUACAUAGCCGACCUGAGAGGGUGAUCGGCCACAUUGGGAAUGAGACACGGCCCAAACUGCUACGGGAGGCAGCCGUAGGGAAUCUUCGGCAAUGGAGGAAAGUCUGACCGAGCAACGCCGCGUGAGUGAAGAAGGUUCUCGGAUCGUAAAACUCUGUUGGUAGAGAAGAACGUUGGUGAGAGUGGAAAGCUCAUCAAGUGACGGUAACUACCCAGAAAGGGACGGCUAACUACGUG
This 497-nucleotide ribosomal RNA is filed under the name uncultured bacterium. RNAcentral's name for it is "partial 16S ribosomal RNA". It matches the Rfam family "Bacterial small subunit ribosomal RNA", at positions 28 to 507 of the family's 1533-position model. The record is from RNAcentral.